Molecule: long non-coding RNA, 1633 nt
Organism: Esox lucius (northern pike)
Lineage: Eukaryota; Metazoa; Chordata; Actinopteri; Esociformes; Esocidae
Exons: 2
Source: RefSeq, a predicted model, not a curated record
UCUAAACUAAUGAAGCAGGAUGCUGAACAAAAUUUAGUUCUGAGGCACCAUACAUUGUCACAAAACAAUUUAUGUUUAUUUAAACUUACAAUUAAGUGUCCUGCUCGGAAAGUAUUCAGACCCCUUCACUUCCUCCUAAUUUGGGUGAGGUAUGCAGGGCCGGCCCUAUACCAGGCAGCCCCAGACUGCUAGUGAGCCCUGGACCACUUGAAAUGCUCCAAUCAUGUUUUUAAUGUAUUGCAAAAACGUCUUCCCUGUACACCAGUCUCUCUUGCUUGUCAACUAUCUUUUCUUAACAUCAUCCCCUAAUAAUAACCUAAGUACUUUGUUUCAAUUAACCAUUCUCUACAACUGUUCAUGAAUUGCCUCCCAGACUCCUAAUAAAAGCAACUAGCUGCUUACUAAUGAGGCAAUAUGAAUAUAUUGCUAAAUAUAGUGUGGUUGAAUUUAUAACACAAUCCCUCUCCAAAGCUCAUGAGCUUUUUUAUUAGAUAUGUCCUGUACAAUAACUUAAGCUCCAACCAUUUUAUCCUGUGCUCCACCUUAUAGUAUUCUUUACCUUCUGUAAAAUUUUAUUUAAAUAGUAAUUUUGUUUUGGUUAGAUUUUUCCCACAAAAAUUUACACAAUACACACUACAUAUGCCAUGUUCCAGUUACCUCAGAAGUCCGAACUGGGAAUGACGUAACACCCAGGUUAAUCCUAAAUCAGAAAAAAUUAUGGAGGUCCCCAGGAAAGCCUUUGUUGUGCUUGCCCUUUCUGAAUAUAUAGACAACUACAGGACAAAUAUAAGGCCCACCUCAAAAACGUAAUUGAAGAAGAUGGAAAACGCACAAGUCAUGGCACACCACCAGUCCCUGUAACAAAGAAGUUGUUGAUGUUCCUGUGGUACAUGGCCAACCAGAACAGCUUUAGGGAGACAAGUUUGAUGUGUCACAGUCAUCAGCACACAGGAUCAUCCUAGAACUGCUUAACAUAAUUUGCACAGUGGGACCAACCUUCAUCUCCUAGCCAGUGGGACCAACCUUCAUCUCCUAGCCAGUGGGACCAACCUUCAUCUCCUAGCCAGUGGGACCAACCUUCAUCUCCUGGCCAAAUUAUUGUAAGAAAGCAGAGUCUGCUGUGGAGUUCCACCACCCCUGUGGCCUCAGUGAUGUGAUUGUUGGGUACUACAUGACUACAUGAACAGAAACUCCGUCCUCCUUCAGGGGAUUGUAGAUUAAUUGACAUUUUUGCUGGACCAGCGGGCAGGGUUUACGAUGCCAGGAUGUCGAGGGCCUUCAACUUCUUCACAACAUGGCAGGAGAAGAUGGGUGAGUACAGAUUGCUGGGAGACAGUGCCUGCAUUGGACAGGCCUUCCCAUUUGUCAGAUCCCCUAAGCGUGACGAGGCGGCUCCUCCUGAAGUAGAUCAGCUACAUUACUCCAAGAUCAGCCGUGGGAGGGUGAAGUGCAAGUGGUGGCGUCUUCGUGAUCUGCAGAACGCACGGAUUGAUGCUGUGGUGAUGAUCAUGAUGGCAGCCUGUUUUCUACACAUGUGCAUUGGUGCUUCAGAGGAUUUUAUCAAUUAAGUGAUUGCUACCAUUGAUGCCUUGUACAUUGUGUGUACCAGUAAAGAAGUGUUUUCCUCAGUGAA